RNAcentral lists this small nuclear RNA (296 nucleotides) under Pteropus alecto (black flying fox). Its description in RNAcentral is "7SK RNA". It matches the Rfam family "7SK RNA". From Rfam's summary of the family: 7SK was discovered as an abundant small nuclear RNA in the mid-70s but a possible function has only recently been suggested. Two independent studies have found that 7SK RNA binds the CDK9/cyclin T complex (known as elongation factor P-TEFb). The record is from Rfam by way of RNAcentral. Lineage: Eukaryota; Metazoa; Chordata; Mammalia; Chiroptera; Pteropodidae.
GGAUGUGAGGGCGAUCUGGCUACGACAUCUGUCACCCCAUUAAUCACCAGGGUUGAUUCAGCUGAUCUGGCUGGCUAGGCAAGUGUCCCCUUCCUCCCUCACCACUCCAUGUGCGUCCCUCCUGAAGCUGCAUGCUCAGAGAAGAGGACGACCUUCUCCAAUUGAGGAGAGGACCGUUCUUCAGUCAAGGGUAUACGAGUAGCUGCACUCCCCUGCUAGAACCUCUAAACAAGCUCUCAAAAAUCUCAUAAUUGUUGUAAUUUCCAAUUAUCAGAUUCUGGAAUUCCAAAAAGUUU